Molecule: non-coding RNA, 30 nt
Filed under: Mus musculus (house mouse)
Lineage: Eukaryota; Metazoa; Chordata; Mammalia; Rodentia; Muridae
Source: RNAcentral
UAAACAAGCAUGGGAGGGUGCAUCACAGCC